Molecule: ribosomal RNA, 279 nt
Filed under: uncultured bacterium
Lineage: Bacteria
Description: partial 16S ribosomal RNA
Rfam family: Bacterial small subunit ribosomal RNA
Source: RNAcentral
UGCCAGCCGCCGCGGUAAGACAGAGGGUGCAAGCGUUGUUCGGAAUUAUUGGGCGUAAAGCGCGCGUAGGCGGUUUUGUAAGUCGGGUGUGAAAGCCCGGGGCUCAACCCCGGAAGUGCACUCGAAACUGCAAGACUUGAGUCCCGGAGAGGGUGGUGGAAUUCCUGGUGUAGAGGUGAAAUUCGUAGAUAUCAGGAGGAACACCCGUGGCGAAGGCGACCACCUGGACGGUGACUGACGCUGAGGUGCGAAAGCGUGGGGAGCAAACAGGAUUAGAUA